Molecule: ribosomal RNA, 546 nt
Filed under: Altererythrobacter sp. 4-24
Lineage: Bacteria; Pseudomonadati; Pseudomonadota; Alphaproteobacteria; Sphingomonadales; Erythrobacteraceae
Description: bacterial SSU rRNA
Rfam family: Bacterial small subunit ribosomal RNA
Source: RNAcentral
UGGCGCACGGGUGCGUAACGCGUGGGAACCUGCCUUUAGGUUCGGAAUAACUCCCCGAAAGGGGUGCUAAUACCGGAUAAUGUCUUCGGACCAAAGAUUUAUCGCCUUUAGAUGGGCCCGCGUUGGAUUAGCUAGUUGGUGGGGUAAAGGCUCACCAAGGCGACGAUCCAUAGCUGGUCUGAGAGGAUGAUCAGCCACACUGGGACUGAGACACGGCCCAGACUCCUACGGGAGGCAGCAGUGGGGAAUAUUGGACAAUGGGCGAAAGCCUGAUCCAGCAAUGCCGCGUGAGUGAUGAAGGCCUUAGGGUUGUAAAGCUCUUUUACCCGGGAUGAUAAUGACAGUACCGGGAGAAUAAGCUCCGGCUAACUCCGUGCCAGCAGCCGCGGUAAUACGGAGGGAGCUAGCGUUGUUCGGAAUUACUGGGCGUAAAGCGCGCGUAGGCGGCUUAUCAAGUCAGGGGUGAAAUCCCGGGGCUCAACCCCGGAACUGCCCUUGAAACUGGUUGGCUAGAAUCCUGGAGAGGCGAGUGGAAUUCCGAGUGUA